This 345-nucleotide unclassified non-coding RNA is filed under the name soil metagenome. RNAcentral describes it as "partial contains 5.8S ribosomal RNA, internal transcribed spacer 2, and large subunit ribosomal RNA". The stretch from base 1 to 119 matches the Rfam family "5.8S ribosomal RNA", at positions 35 to 154 of the family's 154-position model. The record is from RNAcentral.
GAUGAAGAACGCAGCGAAAUGCGAUACGUAAUGUGAAUUGCAAAUUCAGUGAAUCAUCGAGUCUUUGAACGCACAUUGCGCCCCCUGGUAUUCCGAGGGGCAUGCCUGUCCGAGCGUCAUUGCUGCCCUCAAGCACGGCUUGUGUGUUGGGCCCCGUCCUCCGAUCCCGGGGGACGGGCCCGAAAGGCAGCGGCGGCACCGCGUCCGGUCCUCGAGCGUAUGGGGCUUUGUCACCCGCUCUGUAGGCCCGGCCGGCGCUUGCCGAUCAACCCAAAUUUUUAUCCAGGUUGACCUCGGAUCAGGUAGGGAUACCCGCUGAACUUAAGCAUAUCAAUAAGCGGAGGA